RNAcentral lists this transfer RNA (76 nucleotides) under Acholeplasmatales bacterium. Its description in RNAcentral is "tRNA-Glu". It matches the Rfam family "tRNA". Rfam says of the family: Transfer RNA (tRNA) molecules are approximately 80 nucleotides in length. The record is from RNAcentral. Lineage: Bacteria; Bacillati; Mycoplasmatota; Mollicutes; Acholeplasmatales.
GGCCUGUUGGAGAAACGGUUAACUCAUAGCCCUCUCAAGGCUACAUUCGCGGGUUCGAAUCCCGCACAGGUCACCA